UGCACCGGUAGCUCAAUUGGAUAGAGUACCUGGCUACGGACCAGGGGGUUAGGGGUUCGAAUCCCUUCCGGUGCGA
This 76-nucleotide transfer RNA is filed under the name Candidatus Anoxychlamydiales bacterium. RNAcentral's name for it is "tRNA-Arg". It matches the Rfam family "tRNA". Rfam says of the family: Transfer RNA (tRNA) molecules are approximately 80 nucleotides in length. Their secondary structure includes four short double-helical elements and three loops (D, anti-codon, and T loops). The record is from RNAcentral. Lineage: Bacteria; Pseudomonadati; Chlamydiota; Chlamydiia; Candidatus Anoxychlamydiales.